GACAGCGUGCCAGAGUGGUUAAUGGGUUAGACUUGAAUUGCAUAAUUCAGUCAUCUAAUGGCUUCGGCCGCACAGGUUCGAUCCCUGUCGCUGUCG
Molecule: non-coding RNA, 96 nt
Organism: Sporormia fimetaria CBS 119925
Lineage: Eukaryota; Fungi; Ascomycota; Dothideomycetes; Pleosporales; Sporormiaceae
Source: the annotation of a GenBank genome assembly